This is a long non-coding RNA of Acanthopagrus latus (yellowfin seabream), 821 nucleotides long. RefSeq lists it as uncharacterized. The transcript has 4 exons. Lineage: Eukaryota; Metazoa; Chordata; Actinopteri; Spariformes; Sparidae. The record is from RefSeq and is a predicted model, not a curated record.
GUACUUGCUGUGAGUACUUGCCCACUUGUACAUCAAUGUAUUAUACUGCUCCCAUUAAGCAUCUUGUUGGCCGCUCACAGCCUAUAUAUAGUUCUAUAUUUAUAACAUUUCAUAUGAAACUUAAAGAGGUCAUAUUAUGCUUUUGGGUUUUGUUUUACCCUUCGUUUAUUGUGCUAUGAAGCAUUGUUGUGCAUGUAAAAAGAAGGAGUGAAAAAGCCCAAAGUCCACGCCAAAGACAUGAACUGUGGUUUCUUGUAUGAAGGUCCUGUGUUUUGACCCAUCCAUCCUCAGAAUGUAAUGACACUUAGCACCUCAUCAGAACUUUCCAGACAGACUUGCUGUAAAAAAGGGAUGAUUGGAGGCCGGCCAACCUGCAGCCACGGUGAGCAUGACUAGCAGGUGGUGGUGGGUGUUACCACUGGUGGCAUUUCCCGGUACAGUCAACACCAUACUGAGAACCGGCUGCAUCUGUUUUAAGAGCGGCUAUACCGUGAUCUGAGUGGUCAACACAAAGGCUUUCUGAAAGGUUGGUUCUUUCAUGAGGCAUAAUGGAUUUUAAUAACGGAGGCAAUCAUGCUCUUUUUUUUUUUCUUUUUUCUUUUUUUAGCUUUCAAGUUGUCAGACAUGUGAAGUUGGCAUGAAAACUGAAACACAAAGAUAAUCAGUCCAGGUCUUAGAGCAGCACCACAUGCAGAGCACACCGUUGCACGAACAGGAGGGAGUUGGGUCUUGAGGGAACCUGUGUUUUUAAGGGAGAAAAACAGGACUUCAUCCUUCUUCCACCUCACCCGCUUCAUACCUCUCAUCCCUCCCUCCAUUCU